CCUACGGGAGGCAGCAGUAGGGAAUCUUCCACAAUGGGCGAAAGCCUGAUGGAGCAACGCCGCGUGGGUGAAGAAGGUCUUCGGAUCGUAAAACCCUGUUGUUAGAGAAGAAAGUGCGUGAGAGUAACUGUUCACGUUUCGACGGUAUCUAACCAGAAAGCCACGGCUAACUACGUGCCAGCAGCCGCGGUAAUACGUAGGUGGCAAGCGUUAUCCGGAGUUAUUGGGCGUAAAGGGAACGCAGGCGGUCUUUUAAGUCUGAUGUGAAAGCCUUCGGCUUAACCGGAGUAGUGCAUUGGAAACUGGGAGACUGGAGUGCAGAAGAGGAGAGUGGAACUCCAUGUGUAGCGGUGAAAUGCGUAGAUAUAUGGAAGAACACCAGUGGCGAAAGCGGCUCUCUGGUCUGUAACUGACGCUGAGGUUCGAAAGCGUGGGUAGCAAACAGGAUUAGAUACCCCAGUAGUC
Molecule: ribosomal RNA, 465 nt
Filed under: uncultured bacterium
Lineage: Bacteria
Description: partial 16S ribosomal RNA
Rfam family: Bacterial small subunit ribosomal RNA
Source: RNAcentral